GACGAACGCUGGCGGCGUGCUUAACACAUGCAAGUCGAACGGUGAAGCGCCUUCCUUUUUGGUGGGUGUGGAUGAGUGGCGAACGGGUGAGUAACACGUGAGUAACCUGCCCCCUUCUUCUGGAUAACCGCAUGAAAGUGUGGCUAAUACGGGAUAUUCUGGGUCUGUCGCAUGAUGGGUCUGGGAAAGAUAUUGUUUCGGUGGGGGAUGGGCUCGCGGCCUAUCAGCUUGUUGGUGGGGUGAUGGCCUACCAAGGCGGUGACGGGUAGCCGGCCUGAGAGGGUGGACGGUCACACUGGGACUGAGACACGGACCAGACUCCUACGGGAGGCAGCAGUGGGGAAUAUUGCACAAUGGGCGCAAGCCUGAUGCAGCGACGCCGCGUGAGGGAUGGAGGCCUUCGGGUUGUGAACCUCUUUCGCCAGUGAAGCAGGCCUGCCACGUUUGUGGGUGGGUUGACGGUAGCUGGAUAAGAAGCGCCGGCUAACUACGUG
RNAcentral lists this ribosomal RNA (494 nucleotides) under uncultured bacterium. RNAcentral describes it as "partial 16S ribosomal RNA". It matches the Rfam family "Bacterial small subunit ribosomal RNA", at positions 28 to 507 of the family's 1533-position model. The record is from RNAcentral.